GGAGGAUUUUGGCCCUCCGUCAUCGGCCGGUAGGGGCAGGUGACAAAUCGCCAUAGCGCUGCAUUGGUAAAGAGCCUUUGUGGUGAGCGGCUAUGGAGAAGGCACGGCUUGACUGUGUCAGA
Phycisphaerae bacterium is the source of this 122-nucleotide non-coding RNA. Lineage: Bacteria; Pseudomonadati; Planctomycetota; Phycisphaerae. The record is from Rfam.